GCUUGAGCACGUAGGUGGGUUUGUAAGUCAGGUGUGAAAGCCUUCUGUUCAACGGGAGAAUUGCAUCUGAAACUACGAAUCUUGAGUGUAGGAGGGGAGAAUGGAACUUCUGGUGGAGCGGUGAAAUCCGUAGAUAUCAGAAGGAACGCCGGCGGCGAAAGCGAUUCUCUGGCCUAUUACUGACACUCAGUGUGCGAAAGCUAGGGGAGCAAACGGGAUUAGAUACCCCGGUAGUCCUAGCCGUAAACGAUGGGCACUAAGUAGAGGGGAUUACCGACGUUCUCUCUGCCGUAGCUAACGCAUUAAGUGCCCCGCCUGGGGAGUACGGCCGCAAGGCUAAAACUCAAAAGAAUUGACGGGGGCUCGCACAAGCGGUGGAGCAUGUGGCUUAAUUCGAUGCAACGCGAAGAACCUUACCGGGGCUUGACAUGGUAGAAGUAGGAACCCGAAAGGGUAACGAACGGUAUCCAGUCCGUGACUAUCACAGGUGUUGCAUGGCUGUCGUCAGCUCGUGUCGUGAGACGUUGGGUUAAGUCCCCUAACGAGCGAAACCCUUGUUUUUAGUUACCAGCGGGUUAUGCCGGGUACUCUAGAAAGACUGCCGUCGUCAAGACGGAGGAAGGUGGGGAUGACGUCAAGUCAUCAUGGCCCUUAUGCCCCGGGCUGCACACGUGCUACAAUGGUCGGUACAAACGGAAGCGAAGCCGAGAGGUGAAGCGAAUCCAAGC
Molecule: ribosomal RNA, 728 nt
Filed under: uncultured Planctomycetota bacterium
Lineage: Bacteria; Pseudomonadati; Planctomycetota
Description: bacterial SSU rRNA
Rfam family: Bacterial small subunit ribosomal RNA
Source: RNAcentral